Non-coding RNA from Coffea arabica (coffee), 532 nucleotides. The record is from RefSeq and is a predicted model, not a curated record. Lineage: Eukaryota; Viridiplantae; Streptophyta; Magnoliopsida; Gentianales; Rubiaceae.
AGAAGAGGUCUCAGGAGUCAAGUAAGAGAAUUUUAGAAUGCAACCUACAUCAGAGUAGGAUAUCAAACAGCCAAUCGCAACCUAAAUGAAAACUCCAACAUCGUCAUGUGACAUGUUCUUCAGAAAUAGACAUUAGUACAACAUAUGAAAAUGAUUGACUGCUGAAAAUAAGCUUAAGAAGCAUUGAGAAUGAGGAUACAACACAAAUCUCACAGGAAUUCGGUGGUGGAGGCCAUCGGAAUGCGAGUUCAUUUAUGUUAGCCUCUACUGAGUUUAAGAAGUGGAAGGUUCAUGGUGAUGCCUUGACCAAUGCGGCAAUUUAGAAUAUUUUGUGCAUGUCAUGUAGAUGGUGUAAGAUGCUCUAAUCAUUGUUGAUUCUAUUAUCAAUCCAUGUGAAUCAAAUCCAACAGUAAUCUAUAUAGAUAGUACGUUAAAGUUUCUUCUGUUAGAUUUUUUCCUGUUUAAAGAGAAGUAAGAACUUUUUCUUCUGUUACCUCCUAGAAGCAUAGAAGCCAUAACAUUCUGUGUUAAA